GGCUGACCAAGGUGCGGGGCUAGGGCUAACACUUUUCUUGCAGACGGUUUCCUGGAGACCACACCCAUGCCGUUGCCACUAGCCUCAACCUUACUCGGU
This 99-nucleotide microRNA precursor is filed under the name Choloepus hoffmanni (Hoffmann's two-fingered sloth). RNAcentral's name for it is "miRNA (ENSCHOG00000014199.1)". Lineage: Eukaryota; Metazoa; Chordata; Mammalia; Pilosa; Megalonychidae. The record is from RNAcentral.